GUUAAUGCAGCUGAUAUUUGCAUCUUACAGAAGAUCAACCUCAAAGUGAUAAUGUAAUAUUUGGUCCAAGCACUGGAAAUCAGCGGAUUGAAAGAUGGUGGUUGACCCUGCGAAGUGAAUGUAUCCAGUUCUGGAUGGACCUCUUUGACAAACUGAAAGCAGAUGGACACUUCUCGGAUAACUUCUUGGACAAAGCCUUGAUCCAGUUCUGUUUUCUCCACAUAAUACAGAAAGAACUAAAUGAAGUUGUUUCAGCUUGGAACCACCACAGGAUACGUCCAACACACAAUUCACGAAGUCCUCAUGGGCGACCAUUCAUGAUGUACACAGUACCUCAGGUGUAUGGAACCAGAGACUAUCUACACAGCAUUGAUCUGAGCAGGGUUGAAGCCUGCUUGGAAAACUGUGUUUUCAAAGACUUUCCAUGCGAUGAAGAUGUCGUCAGUAUCUGUGUGGACCUGAUUUCAGAGCAUAACCUGAAUGUCACAGAUGAUGUGUUUGCAACAACUGAUCUAUACAAAGACUCAGACAGCUGAUUACCAGAGAUUUGGAGCUGCAUUGAUAAAUGUAAAAACAUUUUGUUGCGUUGACAGUUUGCUACCUCGUCCCUAAUUUGGACUUCAGUAGAUAUUUGAUGACAUUGUGAGAGUGGCAGCAUUUGCUUCAACACAUUGUUGCACCAGUAUAAAGAUGGGUCAAAGCCAUUCACAAGUUCUGUAACUAAGCAAGAAGAGACACUAAAGUAAGAUAAAUCAUGCUGAGCUGAUAAAAUAAGUCUGACAUUAGAAAAAUAUAUUGAUGCAUUGGACAGAUGAUUUUUGGUUUUGAUAUUUUCCCUUUAUUAUCAAUAUCAUUGCAUUACAGUUUGAACAUUAUGCUGAUUAUUAAACAGGAAAUAAAGGAAUUGAGAACUGC
Molecule: long non-coding RNA, 915 nt
Organism: Xiphophorus hellerii (green swordtail)
Lineage: Eukaryota; Metazoa; Chordata; Actinopteri; Cyprinodontiformes; Poeciliidae
Exons: 2
Source: RefSeq, a predicted model, not a curated record